GACGAACGCUGGCGGCGUGCCUAAUACAUGCAAGUUGAGCGCUGAAGGUUGGUACUUGUACCAACUGGAUGAGCAGCGAACGGGUGAGUAACGCGUGGGGAAUCUGCCUUUGAGCGGGGGACAACAUUUGGAAACGAAUGCUAAUACCGCAUAAAAACUUUAAACACAAGUUUUAAGUUUGAAAGAUGCAAUUGCAUCACUCAAAGAUGAUCCCGCGUUGUAUUAGCUAGUUGGUGAGGUAAAGGCUCACCAAGGCGAUGAUACAUAGCCGACCUGAGAGGGUUAUCGGCCACAUUGGGACUGAGACACGGCCCAAACUCCUACGGGAGGCAGCAGUAGGGAAUCUUCGGCAAUGGACGAAAGUCUGACCGAGCAACGCCGCGUGAGUGAAGAAGGUUUUCGGAUCGUAAAACUCUGUUGGUAGAGAAGAACGUUGGUGAGAGUGGAAAGCGCAUCAAGGGACGGUAACUACCCAGAAAGGGACGGCUAACUACGU
Molecule: ribosomal RNA, 496 nt
Filed under: uncultured bacterium
Lineage: Bacteria
Description: partial 16S ribosomal RNA
Rfam family: Bacterial small subunit ribosomal RNA
Source: RNAcentral